This 440-nucleotide ribosomal RNA is filed under the name uncultured bacterium. RNAcentral describes it as "partial 16S ribosomal RNA". It matches the Rfam family "Bacterial small subunit ribosomal RNA", at positions 338 to 795 of the family's 1533-position model. The record is from RNAcentral.
CCUACGGGCGGCAGCAGUGGGGAAUAUUGCACAAUGGGGGAAACCCUGAUGCAGCGACGCCGCGUGAGUGAAGAAGUAAUUCGGUAUGUAAAGCUCUAUCAGCAGGGAAGAAACAGACGGUACCUGAGUAAGAAGCCCCGGCUAACGACGUGCCAGCAGCCGCGGUAAUACGCAGGGGGCAAGCGUUAUCCGGAGUUACUGGGUGUAAAGGGAGCGUAGACGGCGAAGAAAGUCUGAAGUGAAAGCCCGCGGCUUAACCGCUGAACUGCUUUGGAAACUUUUGUGCUGGAGUACAGGAGAGGUAAGCGGAAUUCCUAGUGUAGCGGUGAAAUGCGUAGAUAUUAGGAGGAACACCAGUGGCGAAGGCGGCUUACUGGACGGUAACUGACGUUGAGGCUCGAAAGCGUGGGGAGCAAACAGGAUUAGAUACCCCAGUAGUC